CCGGUGUGCCAGUUUAGCUGGUGAUCAUGUUAACUGGUGAUAUUUGCAUGAAAUCAGUGAAUAUUCAACAUGGCCCUGCCCUGCGUUCUGCUCUGCCUCCUGUUUCCAAGUGAGACAAAAUAAUGGAUAUCGCUGAAAACAUCACCAGUUUAUGUGUAAUACAUGUCCGUUUAAGCAUUAUCCACACAAAUACGACACAUACUGUAUGAACGGAAAAAAAUAAAACGAAACAACGCACUAGAGAUCUAGCUGGGAUUCGAACCUUGGAUGUCA
Sander lucioperca (pikeperch) is the source of this 273-nucleotide long non-coding RNA. RefSeq lists it as uncharacterized. Lineage: Eukaryota; Metazoa; Chordata; Actinopteri; Perciformes; Percidae. The record is from RefSeq and is a predicted model, not a curated record. The transcript has 2 exons.